Molecule: ribosomal RNA, 465 nt
Filed under: Streptococcus sobrinus
Lineage: Bacteria; Bacillati; Bacillota; Bacilli; Lactobacillales; Streptococcaceae
Description: bacterial SSU rRNA
Rfam family: Bacterial small subunit ribosomal RNA
Source: RNAcentral
GACGAACGCUGGCGGCGUGCCUAAUACAUGCAAGUGGAACGCAUUGGUAACACCGGACUUGCUCCAGUGUUACUAAUGAGUCGCGAACGGGUGAGUAACGCGUAGGUAACCUGCCUGAUAGCGGGGGAUAACUAUUGGAAACGAUAGCUAAUACCGCAUAAGAGGAGUUAACUCAUGUUAACUGUUUAAAAGAAGCAAUGGCUUCACUAUCAGAUGGACCUGCGUUGUAUUAGCUAGUAGGUAGGGUAACGGCCUACCUAGGCAACGAUACAUAGCCGACCUGAGAGGGUGAACGGCCACACUGGGACUGAGACACGGCCCAGACUUCUACGGGAGGCAGCAGUAGGGAAUCUUCGGCAAUGGACGCAAGUCUGACCGAGCAACGCCGCGUGAGUGAAGACGGUUUUCGGAUCGUAAAGCUCUGUUGUAGGGGAAGAACGUGUGUAAGAGUGGAAAGCUUACACA